Molecule: unclassified non-coding RNA, 410 nt
Filed under: soil metagenome
Description: partial contains 5.8S ribosomal RNA, internal transcribed spacer 2, and large subunit ribosomal RNA
Rfam family: 5.8S ribosomal RNA (bases 1-121)
Source: RNAcentral
GAUGAAGAACGCAGCGAAAUGCGAUAGGUAGUGUGAAUUGCAGAUGUAACGUGAAUCAUCGAAUCUUUGAACGCAAAUUGCACUCUCUGGUAUUCCGGGGAGUAUGCCUGUUUGAGGGUCGCCAAAUCAAAAUCGAAAUUCGUUUGCUUUUUUGUAAAUGUUUAUCGGAUUUGAGCCGUCUUUUUUUAUUUUAAUUAAAGUGGCUUAAAAUGUAUUUUUUUGGUAUCGAAAUACGUUAUUUUACGAUCAAAUUGAUUAAAAAAACAAACGUUUUCGAAUGCCGCCUUUUUAAUGUAAUACGUUUGACUGUGAUGGUUAAUCAUAGUUUCAUUCGUAUACGAUUUUUUAAUUUUUGACCUCAAAUCAGGUAAGAACACCCGCUGAACUUAAGCAUAUCAAUAAGCGGAGGA